Molecule: unclassified non-coding RNA, 240 nt
Filed under: soil metagenome
Description: partial contains 5.8S ribosomal RNA, internal transcribed spacer 2, and large subunit ribosomal RNA
Source: RNAcentral
AACCUAGCACACCUGCGGUGUGUACCUGCGGAAGGAUCAUUAAAAAACUUUUGCUCGCGACCUUUGCGUCCAAGGCAAAAUCCACACUGUGUGCACCGUUAUUGUUUCUUUGGCAGGGGCUUGGACCUCCUCAUCGAGAUCCAACUUUUUAUCUGGCUCCAUCCUCCUUCGGGGGGACAGCCGGACAUGAGAAGCCGUACCCUGCCAAUUGACCCCUAAUCACACUUUUUUUGUCUGAAA